AUGGGCGUGGCAUGUAGGGAAAAAAUUCUAGAUAGAACUAGGCCCAUGAUUAAACUUGAAUCUGAUUUUGUUGCGAAACAAAAGCAAUAUGAGGUUUUGGUUGUUGGGCUGGAAAAAACUGUGAUUACAAACUUGUUUUUUUCUUCUUUUUAUGGUGGUGUUGUGAUGCCGAUUUAUUUGGACGUACUCGUAUCCACGCACUAA
This is a non-coding RNA of Vicia faba (fava bean), 204 nucleotides long. The record is from the annotation of a GenBank genome assembly. Lineage: Eukaryota; Viridiplantae; Streptophyta; Magnoliopsida; Fabales; Fabaceae.